AUGUUCACGGGGUCCCGGUCUUGGCCAUGGAGAGGGGCGCAGCCCAGGCAAGCAGGGGAGGCCGUGGUGGGUGCACUGGGCCUGCACGUGCAGCGGUCAACGAGGCUGGGUGCUGCUAGUCGUCUCCUUCACCAGGAGACAGAACGAAUGUGCGGCAGCAGGGCGAGCAGGGGGGUGGCGCUGGUCAUCGUCGUUCGGCACGCAGAAGCAGGGUAG
RNAcentral lists this ribosomal RNA (216 nucleotides) under Triticum aestivum (bread wheat). Its description in RNAcentral is "partial small subunit ribosomal RNA". Lineage: Eukaryota; Viridiplantae; Streptophyta; Magnoliopsida; Poales; Poaceae. The record is from RNAcentral.